UAAGGAAUAUUGGGCAAUGGGCGCAAGCCUGACCCAGCCAUCCCGCGUGCAGGAUGACGGCCCUAUGGGUUGUAAACUGCUUUUGUUUGAGAAGAACUAAGGACAUUUAUGUGCUUUUGACGGUAUCUUACGAAUAAGCACCGGCUAACUCCGUGCCAGCAGCCGCGGUAAUACGGAGGGUGCAAGCGUUAUCCGGAAUCACUGGGUUUAAAGGGUGCGUAGGCGGCAAAAUAAGUCAGAGGUGAAAUCUUGCGGCUCAACCGUAAAAUUGCCUUUGAUACUGUUAUGCUUGAAUCAGGUUGAGGUAGGCAGAAUGUGGCAUGUAGCGGUGAAAUGCAUAGAUAUGCCAUAGAAUACCAAUUGCGAAGGCAGCCUGCUGGACCUGUAUUGACGCUGAGGCACGAAAGCGUGGGGAUCAAACAGG
RNAcentral lists this ribosomal RNA (424 nucleotides) under uncultured Saprospiraceae bacterium. RNAcentral's name for it is "bacterial SSU rRNA". It matches the Rfam family "Bacterial small subunit ribosomal RNA", at positions 355 to 776 of the family's 1533-position model. The record is from RNAcentral. Lineage: Bacteria; Pseudomonadati; Bacteroidota; Saprospiria; Saprospirales; Saprospiraceae.